CCUAACAAUGCCUAAUGAAAGGCAUUGCAAAAUCUGUUUUUUCCAACUCUACCUCUGUCUUUUCUAGGAGUUUCAUGGUGGCCAGAUUUUUUCCAGUUUUACGAUAUGAUUGACAUAUAAUACUGCAUAUGUUUAAGGUGCACAUAUUUUGUGGAAUGAUUACCACACUAAGUUUAAACAUCCAUCAUCUCAAAUAGAUACAAUUUUUUUUCUUACCUAAGAGCUCUUAUUAUUUACUCUUUUAACACCUUUCAAUUAUGCCUACAGCAGUGUUAACUACAGUCAUUAUGUUGUUUGUGUCAUCCCUAAACACUUAUUUAUCUUAAAACUAGAAGUUUGUACUUUUGACUACUCUCCUGAUAGCUGUUUCUGAAGUGAAAUGACAUCAUGGUAUCUAAUGCAACAAAAAGGUAAGGAACUUUACAUUAUUUUUCAAAAAGAAGGAUAGUUUAUUUGGUGUACAGUGUGAACCCAAGAAUAUUGCUGACUUUGAGAGGCUUUGUUUCACAGGACAAAGACAUCAGGUUUCUUUCUGUCUAAUAUCUCAAAUCCUUAGAUUUUGCUACAAAGCUUUAGAUUAAGAAAUAUCAAGUACCAACAGAUGUGCUGUAUUUAAAGAAAAUAUUCAAAGAAAGUAUAAAGAGGUAAGACUUGAAGUAUUGGAAGUAUUCUCACCACAGGGUCCUUCUCUUAUGUAACUGACACAUAGGCAGAUAUGCUUCCCCCUUCUCUAGGAGUAAUAGCUGUUUCCUUGCCUAUAACUUUAUGAAUAAUUUCCCCAUUUUCUUUUCAACUAUAGUUCUCAAUAUGCACCCAGGAGAGGAAGAAGAGGUUAACAUGCUAAAGUCCCAAGCAUGGAAGUAGAUACUGGAGGCAUCUGCCUUCCUUUUUUUCCAUUUCCAUGGCAAGCUGUUUCAAGGUGCUUCAUGAAAAGCUUCUCAAAACCAAUGUGUUCUAAAAGCCACAAGUUUGAUGACUGAUAAAAGAGUCACGAGAGAGAGUUUUUGCAUCUCUUCUUUAAUAGAGAUCUUGAAAAGCCAAAUGACUGAGAAAGAG
This 1056-nucleotide long non-coding RNA is filed under the name Sus scrofa (pig). RNAcentral describes it as "lncRNA (ENSSSCG00070015203.1)". Lineage: Eukaryota; Metazoa; Chordata; Mammalia; Artiodactyla; Suidae. The record is from RNAcentral.